GUCUCUUCGGGGACAUCUGAUAAAAUUGAAAUGAUAUAGAGAACUUUAAUGUAGCCCAUGUGUAAGGAUGACACACACAAAUUUGGAAAAAAGAAAAAUGGUU
This 103-nucleotide small nuclear RNA is filed under the name Triticum dicoccoides. Lineage: Eukaryota; Viridiplantae; Streptophyta; Magnoliopsida; Poales; Poaceae. The record is from RNAcentral.